UGGGGAAUUUUGGACAAUGGGCGCAAGCCUGAUCCAGCAAUGCCGCGUGCAGGAUGAAGGCCUUCGGGUUGUAAACUGCUUUUGUACGGAACGAAAAAGCUCUCUCUAAUACAGGGGGUGAAUGACGGUACCGUAAGAAUAAGCACCGGCUAACUACGUGCCAGCAGCCGCGGUAAUACGUAGGGUGCAAGCGUUAAUCGGAAUUACUGGGCGUAAAGCGUGCGCAGGCGGUUUUGUAGGACAGAGGUGAAAUCCCCGGGCUCAACCUGGGAACUGCCUUUGUGACUGCAAAGCUGGAGUGCGGCAGAGGGGGAUGGAAUUCCGCGGGUAGCAGUGAAAUGCGUAGAUAUGCGGAGGAACACCGAUGGCGAAGGCAAUCCCCUGGGCCUGCACUGACGCUCAUGCACGAAAGCGUGGGGAGCAAACA
Molecule: ribosomal RNA, 427 nt
Filed under: uncultured bacterium
Lineage: Bacteria
Description: bacterial SSU rRNA
Rfam family: Bacterial small subunit ribosomal RNA
Source: RNAcentral